AAAUUGAAGAGUUUGAUCAUGGCUCAGAUUGAACGCUGGCGGCAGGCCUAACACAUGCAAGUCGAACGGUAACAGGAAGAAGCUUGCUUCUUUGCUGACGAGUGGCGGACGGGUGAGUAAUGUCUGGGAAACUGCCUGAUGGAGGGGGAUAACUACUGGAAACGGUAGCUAAUA
Molecule: ribosomal RNA, 174 nt
Filed under: Escherichia coli
Lineage: Bacteria; Pseudomonadati; Pseudomonadota; Gammaproteobacteria; Enterobacterales; Enterobacteriaceae
Description: partial 16S ribosomal RNA
Rfam family: Bacterial small subunit ribosomal RNA
Source: RNAcentral